GACGAACGCUGGCGGCGUGCCUAAUACAUGCAAGUAGAACGCUGAAGAGAGGAGCUUGCUCUUCUUGAAUGAGUUGCGAACGGGUGAGUAACGCGUAGGUAACCUGCCUUGUAGCGGGGGAUAACUAUUGGAAACGAUAGCUAAUACCGCAUAACAAUGGGUGACACAUGUCAUUUAUUUGAAAGGGGCAAUUGCUCCACUACAAGAUGGACCUGCGUUGUAUUAGCUAGUAGGUGAGGUAACGGCUCACCUAGGCGACGAUACAUAGCCGACCUGAGAGGGUGAUCGGCCACACUGGGACUGAGACACGGCCCAGACUCCUACGGGAGGCAGCAGUAGGGAAUCUUCGGCAAUGGGGGCAACCCUGACCGAGCAACGCCGCGUGAGUGAAGAAGGUUUUCGGAUCGUAAAGCUCUGUUGUAAGUCAAGAACGAGUGUGAGAGUGGAAAGUUCACACUGUGACGGUAGCUUACCAGAAAGGGACGGCUAACUACGUGCCAGCAGCCGCGGUAAUACGUAGGUCCCGAGCGUUGUCCGGAUUUAUUGGGCGUAAAGCGAGCGCAGGCGGUUUGAUAAGUCUGAAGUUAAAGGCUGUGGCUCAACCAUAGUUCGCUUUGGAAACUGUCAAACUUGAGUGCAGAAGGGGAGAGUGGAAUUCCAUGUGUAGCGGUGAAAUGCGUAGAUAUAUGGAGGAACACCGGUGGCGAAAGCGGCUCUCCGGUCUGUAACUGACGCUGAGGCUCGAAAGCGUGGGGAGCGAACAGG
RNAcentral lists this ribosomal RNA (765 nucleotides) under uncultured Streptococcus sp. RNAcentral's name for it is "bacterial SSU rRNA". It matches the Rfam family "Bacterial small subunit ribosomal RNA", at positions 28 to 776 of the family's 1533-position model. The record is from RNAcentral. Lineage: Bacteria; Bacillati; Bacillota; Bacilli; Lactobacillales; Streptococcaceae.